RNAcentral lists this unclassified non-coding RNA (200 nucleotides) under soil metagenome. RNAcentral's name for it is "partial contains internal transcribed spacer 2 and large subunit ribosomal RNA". The record is from RNAcentral.
GUGUCAUGAAGACUCAUCCCUUCGGGUUUCCGACUGGAUGGAUUUGGGCGUCUGCCAUCUCUGGCUCGCCUUAAAAGACUAAGUGGUUGUAUAGGACGUAACAAGUUUCGCCCUCAGACUGCUCAUAACCCCACCCUUGACUUGUCAAGGCAAUUCUUUAAUCUGACCUCAAAUCAAGUAAGACUACCCGCUGAACUUAA